Small nucleolar RNA from Vulpes vulpes (red fox), 99 nucleotides. The record is from Ensembl. Lineage: Eukaryota; Metazoa; Chordata; Mammalia; Carnivora; Canidae.
AAAUUAGCCCCAUCUGAAAUUAGUCCACUCUGGGCAGAGUACCCAUUCCAUUCCCAGCUUGCUUAGUACCUGGUGAUUGUAAGGCACUUUGCAACAAUG